RNAcentral lists this ribosomal RNA (479 nucleotides) under uncultured bacterium. Its description in RNAcentral is "partial 16S ribosomal RNA". It matches the Rfam family "Bacterial small subunit ribosomal RNA", at positions 28 to 507 of the family's 1533-position model. The record is from RNAcentral.
GAUGAACGCUAGCGGGAGGCCUAACACAUGCAAGCCGAGCGGUAGAGUUUCUUCGGAAACUUGAGAGCGGCGCACGGGUGCGUAACACGUGUGCAACCUACCUUUAUCUGGGGGAUAGCCUUUCGAAAGGAAGAUUAAUACCCCAUAAUAUAAUGAUUGGCAUCAAUUAUUAUUGAAAACUCCGGUGGAUAGAGAUGGGCACGCGCAAGAUUAGAUAGUUGGUGAGGUAACGGCUCACCAAGUCAAUGAUCUUUAGGGGUCCUGAGAGGGAGAUCCCCCACACUGGUACUGAGACACGGACCAGACUCCUACGGGAGGCAGUAGUGAGGAAUAUUGGACAAUGGGUGAGAGCCUGAUCCAGCCAUCCCGCGUGAAGGAUGACGGUCCUAUGGAUUGUAAACUUCUUUUGUACAGGGAUAAACCUACCCUCGUGAGGGUAGCUGAAGGUACUGUACGAAUAAGCACCGGCUAACUCCGUG